This 468-nucleotide ribosomal RNA is filed under the name uncultured bacterium. RNAcentral describes it as "partial 16S ribosomal RNA". It matches the Rfam family "Bacterial small subunit ribosomal RNA", at positions 28 to 507 of the family's 1533-position model. The record is from RNAcentral.
GACGAACGCUGGCGGCGUGCUUAACACAUGCAAGUCGAACGGAAAGGCCUUCAGCUUUCUGCGGGUACUCGAGUGGCGAACGGGUGAGUAACACGUGGGUGAUCUGCUUUGCACUUCGGGAUAAGCUUGGGAAACUGGGUUUGAUACCGGAUCGUACAGCUUUUUAGUGUCAGUUGUGGAAAUUUUUUUCGGUGCUAGAUGAGCUCGCGGCCUAUCAGCUUGUUGGUGGGGUAAUGGCCUACCAAGGCGUCGACGGGUAGCCGGCCUGAGAGGGUGUACGGCGACAUUGGGACUGAGAGACGGCCCAGACUCCUAAGGGAGGCAGCAGUGGGGAAUAUUGAACAAUGGGCGGAAGUCUGAUGCAGCGACGCCGCGUGGGGGAUGAAGGCCUUCGGGUUGUAAAAUGCUUUCGACAGGGACGAAGCUUUUGUGACGGUACCUGUAUAAGAAGCACCGGCUAACUACGUG